CGACAAUAAAAAUUUUCAGAUCUAAAAUUUUUCUUUACAGAUUUCAGAUCUAAAUCUUAAUCUUAUGCAUAUGAUGUGGCUCUGAUAUUAAUGUUGGGAUUUCAUGAUUUCAUGCAUGCAAAAAAUUUUAAAACAUAUAUGCAGCGGAAACUAAAAAAAUUUGGAUUAAAUUAUUUUAAUCUAAGCAUGCAUAAGAUCACAUCUUAAAAUCAUAUAACAUGAUCUAUAUAUGUGAGAUAGGAUUCAGAUACAGAAAUCAAAUAGAGAAGAAUAAAUAGAGAAGAUCUAAUCUUCAUACCUUGGCACGGGUCGAUCUACAUCAUGAACCGAUGAUCGUGGAUGUCUUUCAAAGGUCCUUUGAAGCCACACAAGCAUCCGAUCUCUAUGAGUAUCCAUACGAGGUCUCGAUCUGAUCAGAAGCUUUUUGAUCUUAUCGAGAUGCAAGCUCUCUUGCAGAGAUCGCAUCUUGAUAGUUGAAACUCUUCUUUUCUUUCAAGAUCCUUUUAGAGAAGAAAAAAAUAGAAGGAUGAAGAUCUCUACGCUAGAGAUCAC
Molecule: long non-coding RNA, 552 nt
Filed under: Elaeis guineensis (African oil palm)
Lineage: Eukaryota; Viridiplantae; Streptophyta; Magnoliopsida; Arecales; Arecaceae
Description: long non-coding RNA (EGUI_LNC071197)
Source: RNAcentral